AAAAAUAAUACCAUCAGGAGCAUAUGUUGUACCGCUGACAUUGUACUCCGAAAGUUGUGGACCAUGCAAAACAGAAUGGACCACACAAAUCUUUGAGACGGACAUCAUAUUGGUAGUCAAAGUUCCAGUCUUGUCACUACAUAUAACAGUAGUGCAGCCUAAAGUCUCAACAGAUGGCAAAGACCUCACAAUUGCAUUCAGACGUGCCAUCCGUUUGGUGCCAAGAGCCAAACACGUUGUGACAACAGCAGGAA
This 254-nucleotide unclassified non-coding RNA is filed under the name Hevea brasiliensis (rubber tree). Lineage: Eukaryota; Viridiplantae; Streptophyta; Magnoliopsida; Malpighiales; Euphorbiaceae. The record is from RNAcentral.